CGCCUGGCCGGCUCCCCCUCACCAGGGCCGGGAGGAGGGGUCUGUGCGCGCGGCGGGGCGGCCCCGCGCCUCACCUGGCCCGGGGAUCGAGACCGGUAUCGAUCAGGGAGGGGGGCGCGGGCUGGGCCCGAGUCUCUUUCUUUAAACUGUUGAAACUGUUUGAUGUUUUUCUCUAAUGGUAUCUUCAGCCUGCAGCUUUUCGCUAGUGAUUUAAUUCAUAUUACACCAACGGUAUAAACAACAAUUCAAGUGGGAGCAAGAUCAGGACUUUUGUUAACCACAUGGUACGUUUCCUCUC
This is a long non-coding RNA of Mauremys mutica (yellowpond turtle), 298 nucleotides long. RefSeq lists it as uncharacterized. The transcript is spliced from 3 exons. The record is from RefSeq and is a predicted model, not a curated record. Lineage: Eukaryota; Metazoa; Chordata; Testudines; Geoemydidae.